CUUACGGUUUGAAAUGUCACGUGGUCUCGUCGGAAAAGUGGCUCGACGCUCCAGAAACCACUCAGUGUUCAUAGUCGGAUGGCCAGAACUCCGGUAGCUUGAUAGUAGCGACAACGCCUUUGGUAGCGAUGACAGGGUCCGUUGCCAUGGCAUUCGGCAUCGCGUCGUUGAGGGGUGAUGUGUCCAUGAUCUGCCGGAGUGCUCAAGGCUUUUGGUGUCGCCACCCGGAAAACGAUGAAGGGAUAAGCAAGUGGCACAUUGCCGUCCGGUGUCCGGGUCGCCACUUCUGGGGAGACGAUGGAAUGUAGUACAACUUCACUGAUGAACAGUUAUCCAUGCCCAAGCAGUCGCCGUCAAAAUCUACAACGUCACAGCAAGCUGGAGCGGGAACUCCAAGGCGGGAUCGCCACCCAUCUUUCCUGGCCUCUUUUCACACUCGCACUACAAACACGGACACAAGAAGAGAGAGAAACAAAAAUCUGGACAAAUAAAAAUUAAAAGGCCUGCCUCAUUUCAGAGGCCUAACUAAUCAAUAAAUGUAGUGACAGGUGUGUAAGCCAGGUGUCACUUGCACUACACAAUGAGAAAAAAUGUUUGUUACAAGCAUCUAAUCGUUAAAAAUAUCGCACUUCUUGUUUUAUCGCUUGUCUGUCUUGUUCCGCUUUUGGUUGAGGGAAUGUAUGGUGCAUGGGUGUACGCAUGUGUGAGAUUUUCUAUUUAUAUGGCUGUUUGAGUGCAAUAAACUUUUAGUCUUGA
This is a long non-coding RNA of Dermacentor albipictus, 756 nucleotides long. RefSeq lists it as uncharacterized. The record is from RefSeq and is a predicted model, not a curated record. Lineage: Eukaryota; Metazoa; Arthropoda; Arachnida; Ixodida; Ixodidae.